Molecule: ribosomal RNA, 395 nt
Filed under: Pagellus erythrinus (common pandora)
Lineage: Eukaryota; Metazoa; Chordata; Actinopteri; Spariformes; Sparidae
Description: partial 12S ribosomal RNA
Rfam family: Bacterial small subunit ribosomal RNA
Source: RNAcentral
GCUUAGCCGUAAACAUUGACAGUUUAAUACAUUUUCUGUCCGCCUGGGUACUACGAGCAUUAGCUUAAAACCCAAAGGACUUGGCGGUGCUUUAGACCCACCUAGAGGAGCCUGUUCUAGAACCGAUAAUCCCCGUUCAACCUCACCCUUCCUUGCUCGUCCCGCCUAUAUACCACCGUCGCCAGCUUACCCUGUGAAGGGUAAAAAGUAAGCAAAAUUGGCACUGCCCAGAACGUCAGGUCGAGGUGUAGCGAAUGGAGGGGGAAGAAAUGGGCUACAUUCCCUUUUUAAAUACAGGGUACCACGAAAGAUGCACUGAUACCGUACAUCUGAACGAGGAUAUUAGCAGUAAGCGGAAAACAGAGUGUUCCACUGAAACCGGCUCUUAAGCGCGC